GACGCCACCAUAGGAGCCAGGGAACAGGGAAGAGAAAGUUGAAUUCACACAGUGUCAGUCCUGCAGGGGCUCAGAUGGGCAGUGGAAGGAAAAGAUUCACACUGACCAAUUCAAUCAAGUCAAGUGGAUGCAACUUAACGUGCUUGGAGGACCACGGAACACCUUGGCCCAGCCAAGCUGGAGAAAAGAGAUCUGCUUUCUCACCCGCUGCCUUGGUGGUCGUGAGCUCAGCUGCAGGGAUGGGCAGUGGCUUUCGGAUUCUCCUCCCAAGGCAUGCUCAGCCAAAAAAGAAACAACUCCCACUCUGUCACCACCCUCAUCCCUAGAACCGUGCCAUAGGCCACUUGGGGAGGGGCUCGUACUAGCACGAGGCCAGUCUGUGCCACUGGGAGAGCAUCACUCUUGGUCUUAGCAUUGGCCCUACACAAAACACAUGGGAAAACCUGUUCCUUUCUCAAAAAGAAGUCAAAACAGACUGCACAUGCACAUAGAUGGGAGAGAUGCAUCCAAAAAAAAAAAGAGAGAGAGAGAGAGAGAGAAAUGUUUGUGCCCGCAUUCUUCAUUCCAUCUGGCACACGAUUGGAGUAAACUUAUCUGGGCAAAUGUCGGGCUCCGAUCAUUACCCUGAAAACCCUAGGGCCCUUUUGGAGAAUGUCAGCGAGGCCAUCGGUGUCGGUGUAUGGGUGGACGGUGCAUGUACCACAGAGCCAAAUGUGAACCCUACACACGCCACCCAGAAAAACCUGGGCUUUUCCCAAAAGGAAGUGAAGACAGAC
Molecule: long non-coding RNA, 776 nt
Filed under: Homo sapiens (human)
Lineage: Eukaryota; Metazoa; Chordata; Mammalia; Primates; Hominidae
Description: HSALNT0055965
Source: RNAcentral